UACGGAAGGCAGCGGUGGGGAAUAUUGCACAAUGGGCGAAAGCCUGAUGCAGCUAUGCCGCGUGUAUGAAGAAGGCCUUAGGGUUGUAAAGUACUUUCAUUGGGGAGGAAAAAACAAAACUAAUAAUUUUAUUUCUUGACGUUACCCGAAAAAGAAGCACCGGCUAACUCCGUGCCAGCAGCCGCGGUAAUACGGAGGGUGCUAGCGUUAAUCAGAAUUACUGGGCGUAAAGAGCACGUAGGUGGUUUUUUUAAAGUCAGAUGUGAAAUCCCUGGGCUUAACCUAGGAACUGCAUUUUGAAACUGAAAUACUAGAGUAUCGUAGAGGGAGGUAGAAUUCUAGGUGUAGCGGUGAAAUGCGUAGAUAUCUGGAGGAAUACCUGUGGCGAAAGCGGCCUCCUAAACGAAUACUGACACUGAGGUGCGAAAGCGUGGGGAGCGAAACAGGGAUUAGAUACC
This 458-nucleotide ribosomal RNA is filed under the name uncultured bacterium. RNAcentral describes it as "bacterial SSU rRNA". It matches the Rfam family "Bacterial small subunit ribosomal RNA", at positions 340 to 786 of the family's 1533-position model. The record is from RNAcentral.